CGCUCCUUGUCCCACCUACCUCCGCCCUCCACGUCCCAGGAGAGGGCGGAUGCUGGCUCGUCUUCAGGCGAGAUGGUGGUGAUCUGGAUGCUGGGACACUCCACCACGCAGGACUCUGAAACCUGACAGUGUCGCCCCCAGGUGGCGGACCACGUGAACUUGUUCCCAAUGUGAAUGGCGCGCAUGAUACAACGGGCCAAAUCCUGAUUUUUACUGCUGUAGUCUGCAAGUCAUUCCUGCUGCUCGGAGACUUGGCUGGUCUCUCUCCGACAUUCCAUCCGUGUUCUCGUCCUCCGCGGACGUGACGUGGGACGGCGCCCCCCCUCCCCACUGUGUAGCUGUUAUCGACCAAUUCAGACCUGUUUUUUUUUUUUUUUUUUGGAAAUCCCACUGUUACAUGCUUGAUGCAUUCGACUCAUCACUCACAUUUAUCGACAGGAACCAAAAAAAGGAGGGGGGGGGGUAGGUUUUUGGGUGUCGGCUUUGAAGUUUCCACCUUCACUCAACACCUGGAGCACAACUGGCGCCCCACGAGACAUAACACACUUGCCACGCGACUAAGGGAAGCCCACAGUAACUUACAGUCUCCACCUCUACAUGGCAGCUGUUGUAUUAUUUUCAAAUAUUACUAAUAUGUGCUCCUUUUUUUUUUUUCUUUUUUUUUUUUAAACAUGUCUGUUUAGGCAUCUAUUUAGUUCUACUAUUCCCCAUUAUUACUCACCAAAAUAUAAAUGUUCUCCAAUUUUGGAUAAAACGAAGUCUUAUGCAAUAUGCUCUAUUCAUAAACUGUAUUCAAAUACAAUUCCUCCAAUUUUUGAAUAAAUCUAAAUCCUGUGCUCUAUUCUUAUGUGUGUUAUUAUUGCAAACACUGUACCGUACUGUGUUUGUGCAUUUUAUCUAAUAUUCCCCACUUCUCUCGCCCCAAAAAAUGUAUUCCUACAUUUUGGAUAAAACUAAACCCUAUUGAUAAUUGUACUAUUUAUGACGUGUCAAAAUCCA
Phyllopteryx taeniolatus (common seadragon) is the source of this 999-nucleotide long non-coding RNA. RefSeq lists it as uncharacterized. Lineage: Eukaryota; Metazoa; Chordata; Actinopteri; Syngnathiformes; Syngnathidae. The transcript has 3 exons. The record is from RefSeq and is a predicted model, not a curated record.